UACGUAGGGGGCUAGCGUUAUCCGGAAUUACUGGGCGUAAAGGGUGCGUAGGUGGUUUCUUAAGUCAGAGGUGAAAGGCUACGGCUCAGCCGUAGUAAGCCUUUGAAACUGGGAAACUUGAGUGCAGGAGAGGAGAGUGGAAUUCCUAGUGUAGCGGUGAAAUGCGUAGAUAUUAGGAGGAACACCAGUUGCGAAGGCGGCUCUCUGGACUGUAACUGACACUGAGGCACGAAAGCGUGGGGAGCAAAUAGG
This 252-nucleotide ribosomal RNA is filed under the name uncultured bacterium. RNAcentral describes it as "partial 16S ribosomal RNA". It matches the Rfam family "Bacterial small subunit ribosomal RNA", at positions 524 to 776 of the family's 1533-position model. The record is from RNAcentral.